UACGGGGGGGGCAAGCGUUGUUCGGAAUUACUGGGCGUAAAGGGCGUGUAGGCGGCCAACUAAGUCCGACGUGAAAUCCCCAGGCUUAACCUGGGAACUGCGUCGGAUACUGGAUGGCUUGAAUCCGGGAGAGGGAUGCAGAAUUCCAGGUGUAGCGGUGAAAUGCGUAGAUAUCGUAAGGAAGACCAGUGGCGAAGGCGGGUCUCUGGACAGUUCCUGGACGCUGAGGCACGAAGGCCAG
RNAcentral lists this ribosomal RNA (241 nucleotides) under uncultured bacterium. RNAcentral describes it as "partial 16S ribosomal RNA". It matches the Rfam family "Bacterial small subunit ribosomal RNA", at positions 524 to 763 of the family's 1533-position model. The record is from RNAcentral.